RNAcentral lists this ribosomal RNA (864 nucleotides) under uncultured Bacteroidota bacterium. RNAcentral's name for it is "bacterial SSU rRNA". It matches the Rfam family "Bacterial small subunit ribosomal RNA", at positions 60 to 931 of the family's 1533-position model. Lineage: Bacteria; Pseudomonadati; Bacteroidota. The record is from RNAcentral.
AGUCGAGGGGUAUUUGUCUUCGGGCAGAGAGACCGGCGCACGGGUGCGUAACGCGUAUGCAAUCUACCUUUUACAGAGGGAUAGCCCAGAGAAAUUUGGAUUAAUACCUCAUAGUAUUAUGACUCGGCAUCGAGAUAUAAUUAAAGUUCCAACGGUAAAAGAUGAGCAUGCGUCCCAUUAGCUAGAUGGUAAGGUAACGGCUUACCAUGGCUACGAUGGGUAGGGGUCCUGAGAGGGAGAUCCCCCACACUGGUACUGAGACACGGACCAGACUCCUACGGGAGGCAGCAGUGAGGAAUAUUGGACAAUGGGCGCAAGCCUGAUCCAGCCAUGCCGCGUGCAGGAUGACGGUCCUAUGGAUUGUAAACUGCUUUUGUACGGGAAGAAACAACCCUACGUGUAGGGUCUUGACGGUACCGUAAGAAUAAGGAUCGGCUAACUCCGUGCCAGCAGCCGCGGUAAUACGGAGGAUCCAAGCGUUAUCCGGAAUCAUUGGGUUUAAAGGGUCCGUAGGCGGUUUGGUAAGUCAGUGGUGAAAGCCCAUCGCUCAACGGUGGAACGGCCAUUGAUACUGCCAGACUUGAAUUACUGGGAAGUAACUAGAAUAUGUAGUGUAGCGGUGAAAUGCUUAGAGAUUACAUGGAAUACCAAUUGCGAAGGCAGGUUACUACUGGUGGAUUGACGCUGAUGGACGAAAGCGUGGGUAGCGAACAGGAUUAGAUACCCUGGUAGUCCACGCCGUANACGAUGGAUACUAGCUGUUGGGGGCAACUUCAGUGGCUAAGCGAAAGUGAUAAGUAUCCCACCUGGGGAGUACGUUUCGCAGAAAAUGAACUCAAGGAAUUGACGGGGGCCCGCACAGCG